RNAcentral lists this transfer RNA (363 nucleotides) under uncultured Microcystis sp. Its description in RNAcentral is "partial miscellaneous RNA". The stretch from base 135 to 208 matches the Rfam family "tRNA". The record is from RNAcentral. Lineage: Bacteria; Bacillati; Cyanobacteriota; Cyanophyceae; Chroococcales; Microcystaceae.
AAGGGAGACCUAAUUCAGGUAGGAGACGAAAAAAAAGUAGUCCCUACCAAGAAUCAAUCCCAAAAGGUCGGAGCGAGGCAAAAUUGGCUUUCAAACUAGGUUCUGGGUUCACACAAGACCUGAAUCAGGAACAAGGGCUAUUAACUCAGGUGGUUAGAGCGCACCCCUGAUAAGGGUGAGGUCCCUGGUUCGAGUCCAGGAUGGCCCACCUGUACAGGUGGCAAAAACAAAGAAAAGAAGCGAGGAAUCAGCACCUUAUCUUACUUAUAUAGUAAGAGAGAAUGCUGGCUCUGAGUACAGAGUCCAGAGGAACCUUGAAAACUGCAUAGAGCUAGGUGAAAAAGCCAAAAAAGAAGACCGCAA